UUUUUCCCAAACUUUCAAAACAACGCAUCAUCUACUUGCCCUCUCCUCGCAACGCAUCGAAAUUGACACACGGCAAGUAGAAAGCUUUGCACAAACAAAUCGGUGGAUACGAGCAAGUAGGAAGCUGGUGGCUAUAAUUAAUUAAUUAAUUAAUUACGACACACGGCAGCCUGCCUCCAAUGCAAGGGCAUGAAUCGACUUCACACAAUUAAUUAGUCCCAUGCACAUUGCCAAAACCCCCCCUUUUCCCUUUUAAGCCGUAUUUAUUAUUGAAUGAAUAAAUACAAUGAUUGUAAAUUGAUGGUCCAUACAAUUUGUCUUUUAUUUUAUUUUUAUCAUAAAUCAGCACAAAUUGAUUAGCGAAUUUCAUGUUCAAAUUUUUUAACCCACAUUCUAAUGUUGUUCACACAUUUCAUUGGGAUGUAAUUUUGCACUAAUUU
This 440-nucleotide long non-coding RNA is filed under the name Citrus x clementina. Its description in RNAcentral is "Citrus clementina (C. clementina) long non-coding RNA (CCLE_LNC003286)". Lineage: Eukaryota; Viridiplantae; Streptophyta; Magnoliopsida; Sapindales; Rutaceae. The record is from RNAcentral.